This 493-nucleotide ribosomal RNA is filed under the name uncultured soil bacterium. RNAcentral's name for it is "bacterial SSU rRNA". It matches the Rfam family "Bacterial small subunit ribosomal RNA", at positions 26 to 518 of the family's 1533-position model. The record is from RNAcentral.
AGGAUAAACGCUGGCGGCGUGCCUAAAACAUGCAAGUCGAACGGUCAUCAUCUUUUGGGGUGGUGGUAGUGGCGGACGGCUGAGUAACACGUGGGUGACCUGCCCUCGAGCGGGGGAUAACGUGACCCGGAAAGGGUGGCUAAUACCGCAGAUGUCGGUGAUUCGGUUCACUGACUGAACCUUUGGGGUUCGGGGAGGGCCUGCGGCCGAUUAGCUAGCUGGUGGGGUAACGGCCUACCAGGGCGACGAUCGGUAGCUGGUCUGAGGGGAUGAUCAGCCAGACUGGGACUGCGAACGGCCCAGACUCCUACGGGAGGCAGCAGUUAGGAAUUUGGGCAAGUGGGCGAAAGCCUGACCCAGCAACGCCGCGUGGGUGAGUGAACGGCCCGUCGGGUACGUAAAACGCCCUUUUUACGAAGGGGGAAGAAGUAGGUCGGAACCGGUUACCCCGUGGGAACUAAAGCCCCCGGCUAACUACGUGCCCAGCAGCCGC